AUUGAACGCUGGCGGCAGGCUUAACACAUGCAAGUCGAACGAGUGGCGGCCGGGUGAGUAAUGCUUGGGAAUCUAGCUUAUGGAGGGGGAUAACUACGGGAAACUGUAGCUAAUACCGCGUACCAUAGGAUGAGCCCAAGUGGGAUUAGGUAGUUGGUGAGGGAAAGGCUCACCAAGCCGACGAUCUCUAGCUGGUCUGAGAGGAUGACCAGACACACUGGGACGGAGAAACGGCCCAGACUCCUCCGGGAGCCAGCAGUGGGGAAUAUUGCGCAAUGGGGGCAACCCUGACGCAGCCAUGCCGCGUGUAUGAAGAAGGCCUUCGGGUUGUAAAGUACUUUCAGGCGGGAGGCGUUACCGACAGAAGAAGCACCGGCUAACUCCGUGCCAGCAGCCGCGGUAAUAC
RNAcentral lists this ribosomal RNA (406 nucleotides) under uncultured bacterium. RNAcentral describes it as "partial 16S ribosomal RNA". It matches the Rfam family "Bacterial small subunit ribosomal RNA", at positions 30 to 526 of the family's 1533-position model. The record is from RNAcentral.